RNAcentral lists this ribosomal RNA (497 nucleotides) under uncultured bacterium. RNAcentral's name for it is "partial 16S ribosomal RNA". It matches the Rfam family "Bacterial small subunit ribosomal RNA", at positions 28 to 507 of the family's 1533-position model. The record is from RNAcentral.
GAUGAACGCUGGCGGCGUGCCUAAUACAUGCAAGUCGAGCGAACAGAUGAGGAGCUUGCUCCUCUGACGUUAGCGGCGGACGGGUGAGUAACACGUGGAUAACCUACCUAUAAGACUGGGAUAACUUCGGGAAACCGGAGCUAAUACCGGAUAAUAUAUUGAACCGCAUGGUUCAAUAGUGAAAGACGGUUUUGCUGUCACUUAUAGAUGGAUCCGCGCCGCAUUAGCUAGUUGGUAAGGUAACGGCUUACCAAGGCAACGAUGCGUAGCCGACCUGAGAGGGUGAUCGGCCACACUGGAACUGAGACACGGUCCAGACGCCUACGGGAGGCAGCAGUAGGGAAUCUUACGCAAUGGGCGAAAGCCUGACGGAGCAACGCCGAGUGAGUGAUGAAGGUCUUCGGAUCGUAAAACUCUGUUAUUAGGGAAGAACAAAUGUGUAAGUAACUAUGCACGUCUUGACGGUACCUAAUCAGAAAGCCACGGCUAACUACGUG